GACGAACGCUGGCGGCGUGCCUAACACAUGCAAGUCGAACGGAGAUACGAUUUCGGUUGUAUCUUAGUGGCGAACGGGUGAGUAACGCGUGAACAACCUGACUCUAAGAGGGGGAUAACACUCGGAAACGGGUGCUAAUACCGCAUAAGACCACGACCCGGCAUCGGGAUGAGGUCAAAGGAGCAAUCCGCUGAGAGAGGGGUUCGCGUCCCAUUAGAUAGAUGGCGGGGUAACGGCCCACCAUGUCAACGAUGGGUAGCCGAGCUGAGAGGCUGAUCGGCCACACUGGAACUGAGACACGGUCCAGACUCCUACGGGAGGCAGCAGUGGGGAAUAUUGGGCAAUGGGCGCAAGCCUGACCCAGCAACGCCGCGUGAGGGAAGAAGGCUUUCGGGUUGUAAACCUCUGUCCUUGGUGACGAAACAAAUGACGGUAGCCAAGGAGGAAGCCCCGGCUAACUACGUGCCAGCCGCCGCCGUAA
Molecule: ribosomal RNA, 481 nt
Filed under: uncultured bacterium
Lineage: Bacteria
Description: partial 16S ribosomal RNA
Rfam family: Bacterial small subunit ribosomal RNA
Source: RNAcentral